CAGAAGACUGCUUUAUUCCACCAACUGCGUUUUCAUACAGAGUUUGAGAGAGCAGGUACCAGAUUUAUGAAGGCUCUGUGUUAGCUGUGGCUCGUUAUAAAGCCCUGUACCAGCUCUGCCACCAGCAAGCCGCUGGGGACACCACCAAGUAAAUGCCACUGUGUGACCAAUGCUUGCUGAGAAGGCUUUGAGGGACCCCCAGGAACACCCAUGUGCUACCCUUAGUGGGACACAGAGCAGCAGGCUCUCUUGGGAGAGCUGCAGAAGGCACUGCGAGGUCUUCACUUGACUUCAUUGGCAGCCCAUCUUUGCACCUCGGAGGGAAUUCUUUUCCAAGGAAUGGAUUUUGGAGGGAAAUGUUCAGCAAUCAGUAUUUCCAAAGCUGAGCUUGGUAACCAAGAGAAGGAAGGUACAUCAGAAAAUGCCUGAAUUCA
RNAcentral lists this long non-coding RNA (434 nucleotides) under Gallus gallus (chicken). RNAcentral describes it as "long non-coding RNA NONGGAT008403". The record is from RNAcentral. Lineage: Eukaryota; Metazoa; Chordata; Aves; Galliformes; Phasianidae.